GUCAGCUUGUCCGGGCAUAUUAGGUUUUCAAAUUAGUCUACAGGAGAUUUACCGCCAUCACUUGUUGCUUGGUAUGCAUUUUAUGGAUUAUUUUUAUUAUAAAUGUCAGGCGGAAGUUUUGAGCAGGUUGUUAUGCUUUUUUAAUUUUCCUGAAAUCGCAUUCCCCUGAAAAGAAUCAACGUAAACUGGAUGUAAAUUUGGCAAAAUAUCUGAUGGUUGUAAUAUGCCAUGCAGUAAUCUUGGGCGGAACGCUGUGAGUACCCGGUCUUGCAAUCAGAUUGUACUACAUCACAAUCACCGAUUUAUCAACGGCCUAUCAGCACACCACUCCACAUCCUCCUUGGAAUCUUUUCUAGAAACCCGUUUUCGGUUACCGUCCACAGUGCAUUAUCUUUUCACCUUUCGGCCAUCUCCGGCAUCAGACCAGUCCAAAGAACAAAGCUAUUUUUGCUGGCGACCAUCCAUCACAAUGUUGGGCAUCGCGACAUUCACAAGAGAUCGCGAGGAAAAAAAGAUUUGCGAGUAGAAGAAGCAGGGAAAAAAACAUCUUUGCAACGGCACGAAGCAGUCGUUGACUCCUGUCAGACAACACGCGGGUCAAGGAUGACCAUUAAUCAUGCGUCCAGCUAGCCCAUCACCCUCCCCUCGUCGCGCCAAAAUGGUAAUAAAAAGAAGGAGGUCCUCUUGUUGUAGAGAUGAGGGGGUGGCAAAGAUGAGAAAUAAGGAAGAAAAGGGGGGGAAUGUCUUCUGCCACCUCGUCUACCACAAGGAAAACAAUUCAGCUAAGGAUUAUAUUGAUGAUUCGGAAUCGGCGGUGAAGGAUGACUGACUUCGUCUUGAACAAUGUCGACUAAUCGUACAAUAAUCGCUGCAGUUAUUUAAUGGUAGCUUUCCUUGAGUAACCAUCUAUCGGUUAUUGUUUUUCGUCUUGUCUCGCGACAGCUAAACUAUAAGACGGAUAACGCUAAAAUCGAAUUGCGUGGAAAAAGCUUAUGUCAUCAUUUUUGUGGCGAAGAAAAGAGAAAAGAUUUUCGUUAGGGAUAACGGAAAGUAAUACAGUGGUAAAUCGAAAGUGUCUAAUAAAAGUAAAUUUCAUUGCUC
Molecule: long non-coding RNA, 1101 nt
Organism: Stegodyphus dumicola
Lineage: Eukaryota; Metazoa; Arthropoda; Arachnida; Araneae; Eresidae
Source: RefSeq, a predicted model, not a curated record